UACGAAGGGGGCUAGCGUUGUCCGGAAUUCCUGGGCGUAAAGCGCACGUAGGCGGAUACUUAAGUCAGGGGUGAAAUCCCGGGGCUCAACCCCGGAACUGCCUUUGAUACUGGGUAUCUCGAGUCCGGAAGAGGUGAGUGGAAUUCCGAGUGUAGAGGUGAAAUUCGUAGAUAUUCGGAGGAACACCAGUGGCGAAGGCGGCUCACUGGUCCGGUACUGACGCUGAGGUGCGAAAGCGUGGGGAGCAAACAGG
This 253-nucleotide ribosomal RNA is filed under the name uncultured bacterium. Its description in RNAcentral is "partial 16S ribosomal RNA". It matches the Rfam family "Bacterial small subunit ribosomal RNA", at positions 524 to 776 of the family's 1533-position model. The record is from RNAcentral.